UGCGUAGGCGGAUAGAUAAGUCAGAGGUGAAAGCCCACAGCUCAACUGUGGAAUUGCCUUUGAUACUGUUUAUCUUGAAUAAGGUUGAGGUUAGCGGAAUGUGGCAUGUAGCGGUGAAAUGCAUAGAUAUGCCAUAGAACACCAAUUGCGUAGGCAGCUAGCUAGGCCUUUAUUGACGCUGAGGCACGAAAGCAUGGGGAGCGAACA
This 207-nucleotide ribosomal RNA is filed under the name uncultured bacterium. Its description in RNAcentral is "partial 16S ribosomal RNA". It matches the Rfam family "Bacterial small subunit ribosomal RNA", at positions 568 to 774 of the family's 1533-position model. The record is from RNAcentral.